RNAcentral lists this ribosomal RNA (422 nucleotides) under uncultured bacterium. RNAcentral's name for it is "bacterial SSU rRNA". It matches the Rfam family "Bacterial small subunit ribosomal RNA", at positions 355 to 774 of the family's 1533-position model. The record is from RNAcentral.
UAAGGAAUAUUGGACAAUGGUCGCAAGACUGAUCCAGCCAUGCCGCGUGCAGGAAGACGGCCCUAUGGGUUGUAAACUGCUUUUGUACCAGAGAAAACCUAUCUACGUGUAGAUAGCUGAUAGUAUGGUAAGAAUAAGCAUCGGCUAACUUCGUGCCAGCAGCCGCGGUAAGACGAAGGAUGCAAGCGUUAUCCGGAUUCGUUGGGUUUAAAGGGUGCGUAGGCGGGCUUGUAAGUCAGUGGUGAAAUCUCUCAGCUUAACUGAGAAACUGCCAUUGAUACUGCAGGCCUAGAGUAUAGAUGACGUUGGCGGAAUAUGCCAUGUAGUGGUGAAAUACUUAGAUAUUUCAUAGAACACCGAUUGCGAAGGCAGCUAACGAAACUAUAACUGACGCUUAGGCACGAAAGUGCGGGGAUCAAACA